CUACGGGGCGCAGCAGUGAGGAAUAUUGCACAAUGGGGGGAACCCUGAUGCAGCAACGCCGCGUGGAGGAUGACGCAUUUCGGUGUGUAAACUCCUUUUAUAUGUCAAGAAAAUGACGGUAGCAUAUGAAUAAGCACCGGCUAACUCCGUGCCAGCAGCCGCGGUAAUACGGAGGGUGCAAGCGUUACUCGGAAUCACUGGGCGUAAAGGACGCGUAGGCGGGUUGGAAAGUCAGGUGUGAAAUCCUACAGCUUAACUGUAGAACUGCAUUUGAAACUUCUCAUCUAGAGUAUGGGAGGGGGAGAUGGAAUUAGUGGUGUAGGGGUAAGAUCCGUAGAUAUCACUAGGAAUACCUAAAGCGAAGGCGAUCUCCUGGAACAUUACUGACGCUAAGGCGUGAAAGCGUGGGGAGCAAACAGGAUUAGAUACCCGGGUAGUC
RNAcentral lists this ribosomal RNA (439 nucleotides) under uncultured bacterium. Its description in RNAcentral is "partial 16S ribosomal RNA". It matches the Rfam family "Bacterial small subunit ribosomal RNA", at positions 339 to 795 of the family's 1533-position model. The record is from RNAcentral.